RNAcentral lists this ribosomal RNA (800 nucleotides) under uncultured bacterium. RNAcentral's name for it is "bacterial SSU rRNA". It matches the Rfam family "Bacterial small subunit ribosomal RNA", at positions 9 to 796 of the family's 1533-position model. The record is from RNAcentral.
GAGUUUGAUCCUGGCUCAGGACGAACGCUGACGGUGUGCUUUAGGCAUGCAAGUCGAACGAGAAAGCCCUUCGGGGUGAGUAGAGUGGCGAACGGGUGAGUAACACGUGGGCAACCUGCCCCUCGCAGGGGGAUAACCGGAGGAAACUCCGGCUAAUACCCCGUAAGCUUUCAGGGUCGCAUGGCCCUGUAAGGAAAGGUAGCUUCGGCCAUCCGGCGAGGGAUGGGCCCGCGGUGCAUUAGCUAGUUGGUGGGGUAAAGGCCCACCAAGGCGACGAUGCGUAGCUGGUCUGAGAGGAUGAUCAGCCACACUGGGACUGAGACACGGCCCAGACUCCUACGGGAGGCAGCAGCCAGGAAUCUUGGGCAAUGGGCGCAAGCCUGACCCAGCAACACCGUGUGGGCGAUGAAGGCCUUCGGGUCGUAAAGCCCUGUUGAUAGGGACGAAGGGCGAAGGGUUAAUAGCCCCUAGCCUGACGGUACCUAUCGAGGAAGCCCCGGCUAACUACGUGCCAGCAGCCGCGGUAAUACGUAGGGGGCGAGCGUUGUCCGGAAUUAUUGGGCGUAAAGAGCGUGUAGGCGGUUCGGUAAGUCUGCCGUGAAAACCUGAGGCUCAACCCCGGGCGUGCGGUGGAUACUGCCGAGCUAGAGGACGGUAGAGGCGAGUGGAAUUCCCGGUGUAGCGGUGAAAUGCGCAGAUAUCGGGAGGAACACCAGUAGCGAAGGCGGCUCGCUGGGCCGUUCCUGACGCUGAGACGCGAAAGCUAGGGGAGCGAACAGGAUUAGAUACCCCCGUAGUCC